This 2427-nucleotide long non-coding RNA is filed under the name Lactuca sativa (garden lettuce). RNAcentral describes it as "long non-coding RNA (LSAT_LNC000899)". The record is from RNAcentral. Lineage: Eukaryota; Viridiplantae; Streptophyta; Magnoliopsida; Asterales; Asteraceae.
GAGGCUGCUAUAAUUGGUUCUAUCAAGAAAUGGUACUUUCAAUCUUAAAAUCUUAAACUAAUCAGAUUGAUCUGGGAAUAUUUCAGCAAAAAAGCAAAGGGUAAACAGGGGAAAUUUGGUCAACAUGUGCAAUUAUGUCACAGUGGAGGUUGUAGGGGCAAUCGAUCAGUUGUAAAAAUCAAUUUGAAGUCUUUAAUCGGAUGAGGAGGAAAGGAAAAUCGGUCAGAUGAGAAGGAAUGGAAAAUCGAUCGACUGUAAAAAUCGAUUUGAGUAGAUGAGUGUUGAUCGAUCGAACCCAAUAUCAAAUCCAAGAGAGCUUAUGCCGCUUUUGUAACUUGUUAUUUCUUACAGGUAUACUUACAAUUACAUGAAAGUAACUUGUUAUUUCUUACAGGUAUACUAAAAAAAAUACUAUAGUCAAUAAAGUAAAUGUUACAGAACAUAAAACAGAGUAUGAAAGCAUAGGACUACAUCCUUUCAUUUGAAACAUAAUAUUUUUAGCAGAACAAUAUUUUACGAAGAAACUUCAGUACAAGAGGCACCUACCAGAAUUCAAGAUAAAUAUAAUUAGUUACCAUAUGAUUAGAUACUAUAAAAGUAAAACUCCAUUAAAAGUACCAAUUACAGCACCUGAGGGACAUAUGGGUAUGAUCUUUUUUUCAAUUUCAAAGUUGCUAGAGGGAGAUAAUGUAAUUGUUCCUUUCCCUAGGUUCAUUUCACAUUAUAAUUUCGACUAGGGGAUGCUUGACAAUUAUAUUUCACGAUAUGCAUUGCUCGCCAUUCACUCUCUUCACUUCCUCUUCCAAGGUGCGACAUUUAUCUAUACGUUCAAUCUGAAAUCAUAGUGGUUAUCUAAUCUUAAAAAACAAAAUACAAACCCAAAACAACAGCAAAUGUAGUAUAAUGAAGUACUUACCAUCAACAACCAUGUGGAUUAAGAGCACAGGGGCACCACAAAAAGAUAAAUCUGAGUUAGGAGAUGGAAAGAACCAAGAAUGGUGUGGAACAAAACCUGAAGAAAUCGAAAAAUUGAAACAUUCAAACCAAUCCCAUACGUUAGUUCGAAAUCUCAAUAACAACCCAUUAAGUUGAUCAAAAUCAAUAAUUUGAAUCGAUAUUCAAACACAAAGAGGUUUCUUCAUUGAAUAGUGGAUACUUGAAUUACGAUUGAGAGACAUAAGGAGGAUGAGAGAAUAUAAAUGUGUGUGCAGGUAGUAUACAGUAAAUAAUAAAAGCAGAAAGAAAACUGAUAUCAUGCCUUCUUGAUUUGCUUGCAAUUUAAAUACACAAUAGAAGAAUAAAUCACAAAAUCAGAAGUUUUAUGUGUAAAAUCGAACUAAUAAGGGUUGUGAUAGAAACAAAAACUGCAAUAAAAAUAACAACAUAGGCUAUAAUGGUUCGUUAAAAAAAGCAAUAAACAGAAGUAUACCUGUAAAUAUUCUAAAACACGAGGUAAAAUUAGAGGUUCGUUCAACCUUCAUGGGAUAGUACAGUCCAGAUUUUUGAACCUGAAAAAAAAUGUGGUUCUUUAACAUUCUUGAGAAGAAAACCCUAAAAUCAAACCAACUAAAAGAAUGUUAGGAACACUCUUAGAAGACUUCAAGAUUACUUGAGCCCUAGCACAUGAAAUCGAAACCCACACCAAAAUCGGUUAACACAAGGACAAAAAGAAGACUGAAGUUUGAGUUCUUUGGACAUGAAAAAAGACGGUUCGUUCAACAUUCUUUAGAAGAAAACUCAUAAAUCAAACCAAGUAAAAAAACGAAUCGUUCUCCUCUUUAUUCAGUACAAUCUUGGAAGAUUUCAAUAUUUUUUGAGCCCUAGCACUGAAAUCAAAACCCAAACCAAAAUUAGUAAAAUCAGGACAAAAGGAAGGAGAUUUUGUUGCAUAUUCGCUGAUGGGGUUUAACGUACGUAAAUCGAUGGGUGUAACGACUGUCGUGACGAAGGGUGAAGGAUUUGGUCGAGACUUUUGUGGCAUCGUUAAUGGCUUGCGAGAGGAGGAGGGGGAGAGUUUUGUAUCUUCUAUGUGGCUUCCGAAAGGAAGGAUGUGUUUGAACGACGGAAAGAGUAGAAAGAAAGAUUAGGGAAAAUUGUAAAUUACCUUAUUUCCGUAUGCAUACAUACAUUUUAUGUGUUUCUUGAUUCUCAUUGGUUGAAACCUUUUCACACGGAUUACAAAUAGCAAAAUCUUAACCGUUCAUUCUAGAUGCAAAGGUCCAGAACUCAUCUCCUUGUUUUUUAAGACAAUGUCUUAAAUUUUUAAGGGCCCACAUUUAUAAACUCUUUAUAAGAUGGUAUAGAUAUGCCAAAUACAACGCCAUAAAAAGGCCCAAGCCCAUCAUGACCGAAAUGACCAUAGUGAUUUCGGUCCUUACAACCGAAAACAUAAUAAACCCAAUAAUAAAAUACCAUUCUAAGCCCAAG